This 72-nucleotide transfer RNA is filed under the name Stegodyphus mimosarum. It matches the Rfam family "tRNA". Rfam says of the family: Transfer RNA (tRNA) molecules are approximately 80 nucleotides in length. Their secondary structure includes four short double-helical elements and three loops (D, anti-codon, and T loops). Further hydrogen bonds mediate the characteristic L-shaped molecular structure. tRNAs have two regions of fundamental functional importance: the anti-codon, which is responsible for specific mRNA codon recognition, and the 3' end, to which the tRNAs corresponding amino acid is attached (by aminoacyl-tRNA synthetases). tRNAs cope with the degeneracy of the genetic code in two manners: having more than one tRNA (with a specific anti-codon) for a particular amino acid; and 'wobble' base-pairing, i.e. permitting non-standard base-pairing at the 3rd anti-codon position. The record is from Rfam by way of RNAcentral. Lineage: Eukaryota; Metazoa; Arthropoda; Arachnida; Araneae; Eresidae.
GCGUUCGUGGUGUAACGGUUAGCACAUUCGGCGCGUAUUCGAGAGGUCCAGGUUCGAGUCCUGGAGAGGGCA